This 551-nucleotide long non-coding RNA is filed under the name Dromaius novaehollandiae (emu). Its description in RNAcentral is "lncRNA (ENSDNVG00000009843.1)". The record is from RNAcentral. Lineage: Eukaryota; Metazoa; Chordata; Aves; Casuariiformes; Dromaiidae.
ACUGUAGAGUCUUUGUAGAGUAAAAUCUUUGUUCUUUUCUUAAUCUUUGAGAAGCUAAUAUGGCUGUUUAAUGAUGUGUGGGAUUUCAUAAGUUUGCUGUGGUUUGUGUGCACUCCACAGGAAUAAUUUCAAUGUGUUGAUCAUGAAACAACUGAUGUUUACUUAAAAAUGCAUAUUUAUAUUACCUCUUAAGCAUCUGAUUUUUUAUAGGUGUUUCUUUUGUAGUGGCCACUUCUAGCUGGCUGCUCUUACACCUUUUACAAUAAUAUCUAAACGUUCUUUUAAUCCUUAGACAAAUAUAUUCUCUGGAGGAAGAAAUUUACAUUAAAGAUGAUCACCCACUGUGUUAUGAAUAUGUUAAGAUUGAUGACAAUAUAUAGGAGGAUUUUCUUUGCUUCCUCCCACCCUGUCCAUACAAAUUGGGUUUAUUAAACCUAAACAUAAGAAUAUUGGGGAUCAUUCAGUUUUGCUGUCUGGCCUGUGAUUUGCUGCCAACACGUUAUGCUCGUGCUGUUGGAGGUUUAAUAAAGUGUUGACUGACUUAUACUAAC